UACGAAGGGGGCUAGCGUUGUUCGGAAUUACUGGGCGUAAAGCGCACGUAGGCGGAUAUUUAAGUCAGGGGUGAAAUCCCAGAGCUCAACUCUGGAACUGCCUUUGAUACUGGGUAUCUUGAGUAUGGAAGAGGUAAGUGGAAUUGCGAGUGUAGAGGUGAAAUUCGUAGAUACUCGCAGGAACACCAGUGGCGAAGGCGGCUUACUGGUCCAUAACUGACGCUGAGGUGCGAAAGCGUGGGGAGCAAACAG
This 252-nucleotide ribosomal RNA is filed under the name uncultured prokaryote. RNAcentral describes it as "partial 16S ribosomal RNA". It matches the Rfam family "Bacterial small subunit ribosomal RNA", at positions 524 to 775 of the family's 1533-position model. The record is from RNAcentral.